RNAcentral lists this ribosomal RNA (253 nucleotides) under uncultured bacterium. RNAcentral describes it as "partial 16S ribosomal RNA". It matches the Rfam family "Bacterial small subunit ribosomal RNA", at positions 524 to 776 of the family's 1533-position model. The record is from RNAcentral.
UACGUAGGGGGCAAGCGUUAUCCGGAUUUACUGGGUGUAAAGGGAGCGUAGACGGCAGGGCAAGUCUGGAGUGAAAGGCGGGGGCUCAACCCCCGGACUGCUCUGGAAACUGCCAGGCUGGAGUGCAGGAGAGGUAAGUGGAAUUCCUAGUGUAGCGGUGAAAUGCGUAGAUAUUAGGAGGAACACCAGUGGCGAAGGCGGCUUACUGGACUGUAACUGACGUUGAGGCUCGAAAGCGUGGGGAGCAAACGGG